AGCGAACGCUGGCGGCAGGCCUAACACAUGCAAGUCGAACGAACUCUUCGGAGUUAGUGGCGGACGGGUGAGCAACACGUGGGAACGUGCCUUUAGGUUCGGAAUAACUCAGGGAAACUUGUGCUAAUAACGAAUGUGCCCUGCGGGGGAAAGAUUUAUCGCCUUUAGAGCGUGCCGCGUCUGAUUAGCUAGUUGGUGAGGUAAAGGCUCACCAAGGCGACGAUCAGUAGCUGGUCUGAGAGGAUGAUCGGCCACAUUGGGACUGAGACACGGCCCAAACUCCUACGGGAGGCAGCAGUGGGGAAGCUUGCGCAAUGGGCGAAAGCCUAACGCAGCCAUGCCGCGUGAAUGAUGAAGGUCUUAGGAUUGUAAAAUUCUUUCACCGGGGACGAUAAUGACGGUACCCGGAGAAGAAGCCCCGGCUAACUUCGUGCCAGCCGCCGCGGUAA
Molecule: ribosomal RNA, 449 nt
Filed under: uncultured bacterium
Lineage: Bacteria
Description: partial 16S ribosomal RNA
Rfam family: Bacterial small subunit ribosomal RNA
Source: RNAcentral